Molecule: ribosomal RNA, 301 nt
Filed under: uncultured bacterium
Lineage: Bacteria
Description: partial 16S ribosomal RNA
Rfam family: Bacterial small subunit ribosomal RNA
Source: RNAcentral
CAGCAGCCACGGUAAUACGGAGGGCGCGAGCGUUACCCGGAUUUACUGGGCGUAAAGGGCGUGUAGGCGGCCUGGGGCGUCCCAUGUGAAAGGCCACGGCUCAACCGUGGAGGAGCGUGGGAUACGCUCAGGCUAGAGGGUGGGAGAGGGUGGUGGAAUUCCCGGAGUAGCGGUGAAAUGCGCAGAUACCGGGAGGAACGCCGAUGGCGAAGGCAGCCACCUGGUCCACUUCUGACGCUGAGGCGCGAGAGCGUGGGGAGCAAACCGGAUUAGAUACCCCUGUAGUCCCUGUCUCUUAUAA